Molecule: long non-coding RNA, 605 nt
Filed under: Elaeis guineensis (African oil palm)
Lineage: Eukaryota; Viridiplantae; Streptophyta; Magnoliopsida; Arecales; Arecaceae
Description: long non-coding RNA (EGUI_LNC046435)
Source: RNAcentral
GGGGCGGCAACUUUUUAUAUGGCAGAUUAGGUCAAAAGACCUAAUUAACAAGGAGUCCAUGGGGCAUCCAACUCUUGGACGCCCCCUCUCUUAUAAAUUUCAUGGAGAUCAGGAUAAGAUGCUUAAAAGGGGUGACAAAAUGAUAGGAUAGGCUUGGAAAAAGUUAGUGCAAGAGAGGAGAGAAAGUCCUUGUGAAGAGGGACUCUUUCAAAAAAAGAAUAAGCAUAAACCAUAGAGCAAAGUAUGUACAUUAAUAUAAAUUUCAAAAUAUUUAAUUCAUUUGUUCAAGAAAUAAGUUCCCAAAUCCCUAAAAAUAAAUCAUCUAAUCUCUCUUCUAUGAUUAACCUGUAGUAAGUCCUAGGUGAGACUAGCUCCUACAUAUAAUAUGCCAUCAAUCAAUAUAUGCUAGUAAUCACCCACCGAAGAUCUUGAAAGAAACUAGCUGUGGCCUCAUAUAGGAAAUAUAUUUGUAACUACAUGUGCUAGUAAUCACCCUCCUAGUGUGGCUUGGAAGGAGACACUAGUUCCCAAACCUAUAUAAUCAUAGUUAGAUUAGCGAGCAAAAUAUCAUAAUUGAUUAAAUCAACACGUGUUUUGAUUUAGCA